CGUAGGUGGUUCGAUAAGUCGCUGGUGAAAUUCCGGGGCUCAACUCCGGAGCUGCCGGCGAGACUGUCGGACUUGAGCACGGUAGGGGCAGAUGGAAUUCCCGGUGUAGCGGUGGAAUGCGUAGAUAUCGGGAAGAAUACCAGUGGCGAAGGCGUUCUGCUGGGCCGUUGCUGACACUGAGGCGCGACAGCGUGGGAGCAAACA
This 204-nucleotide ribosomal RNA is filed under the name uncultured bacterium. RNAcentral's name for it is "partial 16S ribosomal RNA". It matches the Rfam family "Bacterial small subunit ribosomal RNA", at positions 570 to 774 of the family's 1533-position model. The record is from RNAcentral.